RNAcentral lists this ribosomal RNA (253 nucleotides) under uncultured bacterium. Its description in RNAcentral is "partial 16S ribosomal RNA". It matches the Rfam family "Bacterial small subunit ribosomal RNA", at positions 524 to 776 of the family's 1533-position model. The record is from RNAcentral.
GACAGAGGGUGCAAGCGUUAAUCGGAAUUACUGGGCGUAAAGGGUGCGUAGGCGGACCUUUAAGUCAGAUGUGAAAGCCCCGGGCUCAACCUGGGAACUGCAUUUGAUACUGGAGGUCUAGAGUAUGGUAGAGGAAAGUGGAAUUUCCGGUGUAGCGGUGAAAUGCGUAGAUAUCGGAAGGAACAUCAGUGGCGAAGGCGACUUUCUGGACCAAUACUGACGCUGAGGCACGAAAGCGUGGGUAGCAAACAGG